CGAGCUGGUUGAUAGGUCGGGUGUGGAAGCGCUGCAAGGCGUUGAGCUAACCGAUACUAAUGGCCCGUGAGGCUUGACCAU
RNAcentral lists this ribosomal RNA (81 nucleotides) under Halomonas halophila. Its description in RNAcentral is "partial 23S ribosomal RNA". It matches the Rfam family "Bacterial large subunit ribosomal RNA", at positions 2845 to 2925 of the family's 2925-position model. The record is from RNAcentral. Lineage: Bacteria; Pseudomonadati; Pseudomonadota; Gammaproteobacteria; Oceanospirillales; Halomonadaceae.